This 2981-nucleotide long non-coding RNA is filed under the name Triticum aestivum (bread wheat). RNAcentral's name for it is "long non-coding RNA (TAES_LNC003383)". The record is from RNAcentral. Lineage: Eukaryota; Viridiplantae; Streptophyta; Magnoliopsida; Poales; Poaceae.
GCAGCCUCCCCGUUCUCCUCUAGCCCCGCCUAGCCACUAGCCCGAGCUCCUGGAGCACUCUCUACCCGCCAUCGCGGCCUUGGCCACCGCCUCUUCCCUCCCUCGAUUCGGCCGAGUCCGAGCCCCUCCCUCGCUCCUUCCACCACCAGUGAGAUCCACUCACUCCGGCGCCCAUGCCCAUGCCCUUUCCCCCUCGCCGGAACCAUCGUGGUCGCGAGCCCCAUCUCCUCCCGUAGCCAUCUCCGCCGGAGUCCAUGCUCUGCCCGACCCCUUCCUCCUCGGCGUGCGCAAAGCCCCUGGUUGGAUGCGCUGUUGAGCGUUGAAUCCAUCCAUAGGCGGAGCGUCGCCGGAGGCCCUCUGUGGCGCCGGCAAUCGCCGCCCGACGCCGGUGUCCUCCCUCUACCUCGCGGGCGAGCGAGGAGAAGAAGACGACGACACAGCGCCCUGCCAGCUGGCCGCGGGUCCCGCCAGUCUGUGGCUGAGCGUUUACCCCGCGGGCCAGCGUGGAUAAGUGACGGGCCCCACACGUGGGACCCACGCGCGUCAGCCCCGCCAUUGUUCCAACGGAUAAGGUGAAAGUGUAUUCCUUCCUUUACGUUUUCUCUUUUUCUGUUCAGGCCCCUAGUUGAAAAAAAUCCAUUACAGAUAGGUCCCUGGCAGUAAAACCCUUAUAACUUUUUAACCGUAACUCCAAAUGAGGUGAAACCAACGCUCACUUCUUCGUUUCGUCGAGCCCGUUCUAUUGGUCAUGUUUUCACUAUGGUUUGACACUGUGAAAAUGACCAUUAUGCCCUUGCCCUUAUUCAGCCCCCUCCGAGAGAGAACGUUUUCCGGCGAAUAUUUCCGCGGCUUCACCACACUUCUCCCCGGUGCCUUCUUCAUCCCCAGGCAAGCCACAAUACCCACAUGCAUGAUAGUCAUGCAGUAGCCAUGGUUUCAACUUGAAUAUUUAAUAAAUGUUUGCCUGUUGAAAAGAUGGUUAUCGUUGUUCCGGUGAUGUUCAGAUUUGCAUGUUCACUGUUAUGCUAUGUUGUUUUAUAGUCUAUGAUCAUGUUAUACCUUCUAGUAUUACCUUUCAUAUGAUUAUGUUGGUUAGUAGUACAUGUUGAUGUUGGUGAUGGUCAUGCUAGUCAGUAUGCCAUGUUCAGUGGAUAUGAGUUAUUGUUGGUAUGGUGGAAAGUUAUGCGAUACUCUCAUGAUGAUGUUGAUAUCAUGUUCAUGUAUUAUAGUUGGCAUCAUGUUAUUUUAUCAUGGCUCAGCAUUUUUGCAUUCAAGUUAACCGGAUUAAAUUGAACUUGAACACCUGUUGGCUGAGUCAUGUUACCGCUGAAUCGAUGCUGACCAGUGCAACCACGCUUACCGGUAUGGGACUGUCCUAACUGGGUCUAUUGUCGUGCCUCUGGUCGGUACCUCAAUUUAGGGAAGGUUAUGGGCACGUGCUACCCUGAUCAGGUAGGCGGAGCAUAACCUUGUGAGCCCGUUGUUAAGUUAAUUUUGGUACCGAAUCCCAGUGUGGAUCGUGGCCACGAUGGUGGUUGAGGUGUCUGGAGGUAGACACGGGGCCUCCCAGGACUAGCCCGGUGGGGUCUGAGUUAGAAGGGCCGGGAGAGUGUCAUGACAAUAGAUCAGUUUUGUCGGAACGCCGUUGGUCCACCCGAAUGGGAGUGCGAGGCCAUGGGUUUCGUAGUGUGGGUACAGUGUACUAACCUCUGCAGAGUGUAUAUUAAUCUGUCGAUAGUCGCGCCCGCGGAUAAGGGCCCAGGUCGAGAAAAGGUCACACCAUGAGUCAACAGUAAUAAGAAUAAUGUGCUUAAUAACAGUGAGAUAAGUUGGCCAAGUGUUGGUCAGGUGGUGAUCACCGUAAGGAUCACGGGCCAUGUAGUGGUUGGGUUGUGAUCGCCGUAAGGAUCACGGGCCAAGUGUUGGUCGGGUGGUGAUUGUCGUAAAGAUCACGAUGGUAUCGAGGAUAUCGAGUUGUUGUAUAUUCGUGACGUUGUACGAGAGUCGUGGGUAAAGAUCAAGCUCCUUGUGGUUAUUUAGUGAUCGCUAUGGUAUUGUUUAUGCCAAGCUUGAUUUGAUCCUGAGAUGAUCGUGUGAUGUCCGAGGUCGGUAAGUGAUGCAUGUGUUGGUUACGAGGUAAACGAGCAGAAUAAGGGGUGCAUAUGGUGUCAUCAUGUUACAUGCUAGUAUUGUCAGAUUAAUAUGUUCAUGCUAUGUUCAGGUUGAGUUAGCUGUAUCAUGUUUAUGUUGGUCAUGCCAUGUUAUGCUGAUGAUCUCAUGUUAAUUCCUGUUUAACCUGUAAUUGCCAUGCUGUUGUUUGUCUUGAAUGCUUCUAGUUAUUUGUGAGCUUGCAAGUACAUUCAAUUUACUAACCUGGCGUGUCAUGCCAGCUUGCAGGUCAUGCCGGAUUUGAUUGCUUGCUUGUCGUGGUUUCCGUUCGUGCGAGCUAGGAUAAGCAUUCCAGCCAGAGUCCCUGCGGAGUGGAGUUCACCACCGUCGCCGUUGUUCCGCUGCUAGAGUUAUUCCACUGCUUCGAGUUGUUCUGCUGCUUGCAUAGAGCAACUGAGGAUGGCGUAGUGUCGCCGUACCGAUGUUAUUCAUUGUAAUAUCGUAGACCUUGUAUUCAUAUUUGUGUAAUAAUAGAAGGCUGGUUUGUUCUAUGCUAAGCAGUGCCGUAUUCCAGAAGACUUCUCCUCGAUCUCUGGGCUGGAAUACGGGGCAUUCCAGUUUUCUCUGAGCCGGGUUGCAACAGCUCAGAGAUACCUCUCCGAUACUCGGAGUGACAAAUCCUAAUCUCGAUCUAUGCCAACCAAACAAACACCUUCGAAGAUACCUAGAGCAUAUUUAUAAUCACCAAGUUACAUUGUGAUGUUUGAUAGCACAGAAGGCAUUCCUCCAGUAUUUGGGAGUUGCAUAAUCUCAUAGUCAAAGGAAUAUGUAUUUGACAUGAAGAAAGCAAUAGCAAUAAACCUGAACGAUCA